This 424-nucleotide ribosomal RNA is filed under the name uncultured bacterium. RNAcentral describes it as "bacterial SSU rRNA". It matches the Rfam family "Bacterial small subunit ribosomal RNA", at positions 355 to 776 of the family's 1533-position model. The record is from RNAcentral.
UGAGGAAUAUUGGUCAAUGGGCGCAAGCCUGAACCAGCCAUGCCGCGUGAAGGAUGAAGGCCCUAUGGGUUGUAAACUUCUUUUAUACGGGAAGAAACCCUCAGACGUGUUUGAGGUUGACGGUACCGUAGGAAUAAGGAUCGGCUAACUCCGUGCCAGCAGCCGCGGUAAUACGGAGGAUCCGAGCGUUAUCCGGAUUUAUUGGGUUUAAAGGGUGCGUAGGCGGAAUUGUAAGUCAGUGGUGAAAGCCCGCAGCUCAACUGCGGAACUGCCAUUGAUACUGCCAUUCUUGAGUACAGUUGGAGUAGGCGGAAUGUGACGUGUAGCGGUGAAAUGCUUAGAUAUGUCACAGAACACCGAUCGCGAAGGCAGCUUACUAAACUGUAACUGACGCUCAGGCACGAAAGCGUGGGGAUCAAACAGG